GGUCAUAAAUUUAAGACAUGUAGUUCUUAGAUUUAAAUUUGAUAGUGGUUGAAAAAAUUUGACAAUAGUUCACAUUCUUAAAAGUCAAGGAAAAUAAAAACAUAACCGCAUUAUGGGUUGAAUUUUCCCCCAAAAUAUAUGUUGAAGUCCUAAUGCCUACACCUAAGAAUACAGCCUUACUUGGAAACAGGGUCUUUGCAGAUAUAAGAUGAGGUCACAAUGGAGAAGGGUGGGCCCUUAAUCAUAUUAGAGAAGACACAGAAACAGAGACAUGGGGAGUAACACCAUGUGAAGACAGAGGUGGAGAUUGGAGGGGUGCAUGUACCAACCAAAGGAAUAUCAAGGGCUGGCAGCAGCACUAGAGCAAGCGAAAGGCAUGAAACAGAUUCUCCCCUAGAGCUGUAAGAGGCAGUGUGGCCCUGGCAACACCUUGCUUUAGGACUUCUAACCUCUAGAAUAAUGAGAUAAUGAGAGUAUAUUUCUGUUGGUUUCGGCCAUGCGGUUUGUGGUAACUGGUUCCAGCAGCCCUAGGAAUCUAAUACACUGCCCAUGUUAUUUUGAGGAUCAAGUGAAACUUAGAAACAAUAACAACAAAAAAAGCAAAGUCUGUGAUCAAGAAGAAUUACUCUGUUGCAACAAUAUAAACUAAGAAAAAAAUACGCAAAAUUCUCUGCUGCCUUGGGAGAUGAUCUCAUGAUGUGUAUCAUUUACUUUUAAUAUUUUUAUUUAUUUAUUUUUGAGACGGAGUCUCGCUCUGUCGCCCAGGCUGGAGUGCAGUGGCGUGAUCUCGGCUCACUGCAACCUUCGCCUCCCGGGCUCAAGUGAUUCUCCUGCUUCAGCCUCCUGAGUAGCUGGGAUUAUAGGCAUGUGCCGCCAUGCCUGCCUAGUUUUUUAUUUUUAGUAGAGAUGGGGUUUCACCAUGUUGGUCAGGCUGCUCUCAAACUCCUGACCUUGUGAUCUGUGCGCCUCAGCCUCCCAAAGUGCUGGGAUUACUGGUGUGACCGACCGUGCCUGGCCAAUGUGUAUGAUUUAAUAGCCAGCAGCAACAGGCCACUAACAUGCCAUCUGCUAACAGGGGCUCUAGCUAUUAACAUCAACAGAGCUAAAAACUCUUAUGUCUGAUCCCUUGCAAAUGGCGAAGACCUGGCUGAGAAUUAUUAUCUCAUGCUUUCAGAGAAAACUUUGCUUGUCCUGCACUGAAAAAUCUGGCUGCAAUAAUCACAUGGAAGAAGGUAUGUUUGUUGGCAUGGUUCAUGGGCUGGCUUAUGACUUCUAAGCAGAAGAUACAAAAUAAUAUAAAAAUCCUGCAACAUGCACAAUGUAGCUGAUAUUCAUGUUCUCUUUAAAUAUCUUAACACUGACUUACAUAUUUAAGGGUGUGGAGUCUUUGAGCUUGGGAAGCAUCUUAUUACUGAGGUACAAAUGCUAAAAGAGGGACAUUUCUUCUAUCUACCGCAUUUUCAAUGAAAAGAUGCUGAAGGUGAAUAAACAGCUCUGCAAACCCAGUUUUGUUUAACUUGGCAACAGCAGUAAGUAAGUAUCACUGGACACAGAGACACUGGAAUAGAUUCAGUCUUUAGUCUUAUUCAUCACGUCUGACCUUGGGCAUAUUACAUGGUUUUCCUGAGCCUAUGAAAUCAUGCGGCUGAACGAGCUGAAAACUAAGAUUCUUUCCUUUGCUAAUAAAUUUCAGCAAACGAUAGGAGUAAGAACGGCUGUCUAACGAGACUACCAAAUGCUACGAGACGCAGCAAGCAAUGUCCCUUUACCUAAUGGAUACAGCUUCUUAACUGUUUAUCCAAAGUCUCCCCAAGCAAAUUCUAAAUUAUUCUAAAUUAUUUGAGUAACAAAGAUUGGGCCCUUAUACCUGUGACGUGUCUGGCAAUGACAAAGAAUGUGGAACAUGGGAAGCAUUUAAUACAUAUUUAUU
This 1930-nucleotide long non-coding RNA is filed under the name Homo sapiens (human). RNAcentral describes it as "PREDICTED lncRNA (TCONS_00172501)". Lineage: Eukaryota; Metazoa; Chordata; Mammalia; Primates; Hominidae. The record is from RNAcentral.